GAUCAGAUACGCAAACUGGAAAAGCGGCCAUGUCGAGAACGUGGUGAGUUUGUGGGUUCAACUCCCACUCUGAUCA
Planctopirus limnophila DSM 3776 is the source of this 76-nucleotide non-coding RNA. Lineage: Bacteria; Pseudomonadati; Planctomycetota; Planctomycetia; Planctomycetales; Planctomycetaceae. The record is from Rfam.